AGAGUUUGAUUAUGGCUCAGGACGAACGCUGGCGGCGUGCUUAACACAUGCAAGUCGAGCGAAGUUAUUCCUUCGGGGAUAACUUAGCGGCGGACGGGUGAGUAACACGUGGGUAACCUGCCUCAUAGAGGGGGAUAGCCUUCCGAAAGGAAGAUUAAUACCCCAUAACAUAGCAUUAUCGCAUGAUAAAGUUAUUAAAGGAGUAAUCCGCUAUGAGAUGGACCCGCGGCGCAUUAGCUAGUUGGUGAGGUAACGGCUCACCAAGGCCACGAUGCGUAGCCGACCUGAGAGGGUGAUCGGCCACAUUGGGACUGAGACACGGCCCAGACUCCUACGGGAGGCAGCAGUGGGGAAUAUUGCACAAUGGGCGAAAGCCUGAUGCAGCAACGCCGCGUGAGUGAUGAAGGCCUUCGGGUCGUAAAGCUCUGUCUUCGGGGGCGAUAAUGACGGUACCCGAGGAGGAAGCCACGGCUAACUACGUGCCAGCAGCCGCGGUAAUACGUAGGUGGCAAGCGUUGUCCGGAUUUACUGGGCGUUAAAGGGAGCGUAGGCGGAUACUUAAGUGGGAUGUGAAAUACCCGGGCUCAACCCGGGUGCUGCAUUCCAAACUGGGUAUCUAGAGUGUGGGAGAGGAAA
This 636-nucleotide ribosomal RNA is filed under the name uncultured Clostridium sp. RNAcentral describes it as "bacterial SSU rRNA". It matches the Rfam family "Bacterial small subunit ribosomal RNA", at positions 8 to 660 of the family's 1533-position model. Lineage: Bacteria; Bacillati; Bacillota; Clostridia; Eubacteriales; Clostridiaceae. The record is from RNAcentral.